Molecule: long non-coding RNA, 596 nt
Organism: Aegilops tauschii subsp. strangulata
Lineage: Eukaryota; Viridiplantae; Streptophyta; Magnoliopsida; Poales; Poaceae
Source: RefSeq, a predicted model, not a curated record
UUGGCCGACAGAAUUUCUGUACGAUACGGCUGGGUGGCGUGUACCCAGGUUGGGCGCAGUACGGCCGCUCUCGCGUCCUACGUCUAGCACGAGAUCCCUUUUCCGAUUUUGGGGCAAAGACAACGCUGAGCCGGAGGCAGUGGUGCGCGCCCGUGGUCGGUCAGGCUCUGCUCAUGGAGAUUUCAGCUGCGGCGGCGCCGGCGCUCGAAUCCGGAUCGGCGUCGGCGGCCAACGAUCCGGCAGCGCGUUCGGGGGCUUCCGUUUCGGCCGGCGGCGGCCCCGGGGCGGCAGGGUCAGUAGUAAGCUCGCCGGAUUCGGUCGUGCGCCCGUUCACUCCUGAUAGUCGCCCGUUGGAUGAGGGGGUGGCACAGCCGGCGGCGCAGAGGCCUUUGUCUGAUGUCGAGUUCUCCGGGCCCAGUGCUGCCGUUUGUGAAGAGGCCUCGCGACGGACCAGUGGAGUGACGUUCAGUUCAUUGUACUAUGGUGCAAAAUUUUCUUGAAUCAGUCGAGAUUUUUAUGUAGUCUGCUUGUUAAGACUGUUGACUUGUAAUUCUAAUAAACGUUGUGCCUGUCUUUGGGGGACUGGACGUUGCUUA